UACAGAGGUGGCAAGCGUUGUUCGGAAUUACUGGGCGUAAAGGGCGCGUAGGCGGUUCGUUAAGUCCUGUGUGAAAUCCCCCGGCUCAACUGGGGAACUGCACAGGAAACUAGCGGGCUUGAGUUCGGGAGAGGGAAGCGGAAUUCCGGGUGUAGCGGUGAAAUGCGUAGAUAUCCGGAGGAACACCAGUGGCGAAGGCGACUCACUGGACACAUAUUGACGCUGAGGUGCGAAAGCGUGGGGAGCAAACAGG
RNAcentral lists this ribosomal RNA (253 nucleotides) under uncultured bacterium. Its description in RNAcentral is "partial 16S ribosomal RNA". It matches the Rfam family "Bacterial small subunit ribosomal RNA", at positions 524 to 776 of the family's 1533-position model. The record is from RNAcentral.